AUUAAUUCGAUGCAACGCGAAGAACCUUACCAAGGCUUGACAUACACGAGAACACCCUAGAAAUAGGGGACUCUUUGGACACUCGUGAACAGGUGGUGCAUGGUUGUCGUCAGCUCGUGUCGUGAGAUGUUGGGUUAAGUCCCGCAACGAGCGCAACCCUCGUUCUAUGUUGCCAGCACGUAAUGGUGGGAACUCAUGGGAUACUGCCGGGGUCAACUCGGAGGAAGGUGGGGAUGACGUCAAAUCAUCAUGCCCCUUAUGUCUUGGGCUUCACGCAUGCUACAAUGGCCGGUACAAAGGGCUGCAAUACCGUGAGGUGGAGCGAAUCCCAAAAAGCCGGUCCCAGUUCGGAUUGAGGUCUGCAACUCGACCUCAUGAAGUCGGAGUCGCUAGUAAUCGCAGAUCAGCAACGCUGCGGUGAAUACGUUCCCGGGUCUUGUACACACCGCCCGUCAAGUCAUGAAAGUCGGUAACACCUGAAGCCGGUGGCCCAACCCUUGUGGAGGGAGCCGUCGAAGGUG
RNAcentral lists this ribosomal RNA (521 nucleotides) under bacterium st5(2009). Its description in RNAcentral is "bacterial SSU rRNA". It matches the Rfam family "Bacterial small subunit ribosomal RNA", at positions 945 to 1464 of the family's 1533-position model. The record is from RNAcentral.